UACGGAGGGUGCGAGCGUUGUCCGGAAUCACUGGGCGUAAAGGGCGCGUAGGUGGCGCGGGAAGUCAACGGUGAAAGUUCGGGGCUCAACCCUGAAUCGGCCGUCGAUACUCCCGGGCUCGAGCACUGUAGAGGCAGAUGGAAUUCCGGGUGUAGCGGUGGAAUGCGUAGAGAUCCGGAAGAACACCGGUGGCGAAGGCGGUCUGCUGGGCAGUUGCUGACACUGAUGCGCGACAGCGGUGGGGAGCAAACACGGA
RNAcentral lists this ribosomal RNA (256 nucleotides) under uncultured bacterium. Its description in RNAcentral is "partial 16S ribosomal RNA". It matches the Rfam family "Bacterial small subunit ribosomal RNA", at positions 524 to 778 of the family's 1533-position model. The record is from RNAcentral.